RNAcentral lists this long non-coding RNA (4347 nucleotides) under Sus scrofa (pig). RNAcentral describes it as "lncRNA (ENSSSCG00035042312.1)". The record is from RNAcentral. Lineage: Eukaryota; Metazoa; Chordata; Mammalia; Artiodactyla; Suidae.
GGGAGGGUCCUUCCUGCCUCUUCCAGCUUCUGGGGACACCAGGUGGCCCUGGGCUGGUGGCCGCCUCCCUCCCAUCUCUGCCUCCGUCUUCUCGUGGCGUCUCCUCUUCUGUCUCUUGGGAGGACCCUGUCCUUGCAGGGAGGGCCCCCUAAUCCAGGAUGACCUCAUCUCAGACCCUUCCCAUGGCUUCCCCACGUGUCUUCUCUGUUGUAAGGAUACUUGUUAGUAGGUUGAGGACCCCUCGUCAUCCAGGAGGACCUGGUCCCUGGCACACAGCUCCUAAACCACAGCAAGUUCGUGAUCCUUGUGAGCAGAGCAUCUUUAGUUUUUCCUGAGAAACCCAGGCUCACCUGUUCAUGCUAAUGAGGUGAGGCUGGUGCCAGAGGAACCAACCAGGGGAUGAAAGGGUUGGGUUUUUUAGCUCAACUCCAAACCUUGAGACUUGCUCAGGGGUCAACCUUUAAUCAGGCCAGCCUAGUGGACCCUCACCAAAAAAGGGGGUCCAGAGAGCUUUCAGGUUGGGGAGGCCAUGGUUGGGAGUGUUGCAGCCCCGCCAAGUCCAAGGAGAGAGAAGCUCCUGCAUGUGGGACCCACUCCCACCCUCCCCUCCCCCUCUGGCUGUUCCCCCCUUGAUGAGCAACAUGUAAGUCAGGUGUUUCCUGAGUUCUUUGGGGGGAGGACACUGGGACCCUCCAUCUGUGGGCGUGUUGGACACAAGUGUGGGGGCCUGUGUGUGCUGGUGAUGGUGGGGUUGGGGGAUCUCAUGUGGGCAUUUUGACCAACUCAGGGUGCUUUCUGAGGUAAACUGAAUUGGAGGCCACCCAGCUGGGGUCCAAAGGGAACUGGAGGAUUCCUUGGGGUGGAAAUGCCCCACAGUGGGUGUCAGAAGCAAUGUGAGCAAGAUGACAUUUUGUUUGAACAAUUAAACGUGUUUACCCUUUUCAGUCAAACACCUCCUCCUGGCAGACCCCCGAGAUCUCACCCUUUUCCCUGUAACCCAUUGUUCUCUCUGAUCAGAGUGAAUUCUCUAGAACACCAAUUAAGGCGUGUCCAUACCUGCUUAAACCUGCGGUGGUUUUCAGGGCUGUUAGAAAAGGACAAAUGGCCUCCCCUGUCAUGCUGACCGAUGCAGAGCAGCUGGUGCAGGGUGGCACGGAUUUGGAGCACGCUUGAGGGAUGGUGGCAGCGACCUCCCUCUGGUUCAUCCUGGGACAGUGUUUUGUGACUUGUGUCUGACACAGGAAAGAGGUGACAACAGUGGGGACUUGUUGUGGUGCCCAACCAUCUCAGGUUGGACUCUUUGCUUUUGCAAGGCUAAGGCUCUUAGUCCCUGCAAAUAGUUACAUGUCGCUGGUGUCUCUUGACAGGUGUGUUUCUACAAUGUAAGCUGGCAUUUGUUGAUUCUCAUGGACGUAGAGAUUGGUUGUGUUUGCUCCAUAAAUGGGUUUUGUGCGCUUGUGACAAAAAAUGAUCACAAACCCCACAGGUUACCACCACAGGAACCCACCCUCCCCCAAGCCCUGGAGACCAGAUGAUUGAGGUCAGGGUGUCCCAGGGUCUUACGCAGGCUUCCUGGAGAGAGAGGUGGAGAACCUCUCAGCUCCCUCCAUCCAACCGGGACCUGGAGGUAAGGUGUUGGGUAGAAUAAGUCACAGAAAGACACAUCCUUAUAUCAUCAUCACCCAGAUGCAGAGUCUAAAAAUAAGGCAUUCCCGUUGUGGCUCAAUGGUUGAAGACCUUGACAUAGUGUUGGUGAAGAUGCACGGUCAGUCACUGGUUUUGAUGAGGGCUUAAGGAUCCAGCAUUGCCACAAGAUGAGACAUACUUCGCAGAUGUGACUCAGGUCCUGUGUUGCCAGUGGCUGUGGUGUAGGCUGGCAGCUGCAGCUCUGAUUUGAACCCUGACCCACCACAUGCUGAUGUUGUGACCCUAAGAAGGAAGCAGAUAAGUAGAAUAAAAAAUGAAACUUGUCACGUGUGGGUGGUCCGUACCUAAUCAGUUGAGGACCUUUAGAGGGAAAAGACUGAGGUCCCCGAGGUAGGGGGAAUUCUGCCUCCAGACAGAUGUCGGCUUCAAGCUACAGCAUUGCCUGUUCCCUGGGCCUCCAGCUCGCCAGGCUGCCUGCAACCUCUGGACCUGCCAUCCUUCACAACUGCAUGAGACGAUUCCUUAAAAUGAGUCUGUGUCUCCCUCUCCUUCCACACAUUCCAUUGGUUCAGCUGCUCUGCAGGCCCUGAUACACCAUCCUCCAUCCCUCAGGGGUCUGGCAGAGGUCCCUGAGGAGUUUGGGGAUGUGUUUGCCUGAGUAAUGCUGUGGGCACCAAGCCUGAGGGAAUAGCAUGGGGUUUGAUUUUUUGAGCCUCUUUGGGAUGAAGGAAGAGCCUUUGGAUCAGCGAAUAAUGGGGCUGGGAAGAGACGUGAGCUACUUAGGGCAGCAGUAGCAGCAGGAUCUGGAGAAGGGAGAAAGAAUGGCCCCAGAGCCCCCCUGCCACAGCAGGUUUGAGGGUCCCCGCCUUGGUCAUGUGGUGCCCUGGGUCCUGGUGACCCCAGAGCAGUGAGUACACACGGGUGUGGAAGGAGGUUGGAGCUGUGCUGCAGAUCCAGCUUCUAGCCCCGGCCAGCCCGGCUGUGCAGAGCCUGGGAAGAUGGGCCUUUUUCUUGUUUGACGACAUAUUCCAUUAUGUUUAUUGUAAACUAUGGGCUCUAUUUCCUGUGCUGUACAGGAUCCCCUUGCAGCUUGUAUAUUUUCUACACAGUCGUUUGUGUAUCUCUUACUCCCUUCCCCCUAUGCUCCCCCCCAGAUGGUUCACCCCAAGUUUUCUGUAUCUGAGAGUCUGGUACUUCUGUUAUACUCACUCGUCUGCUGUACAUUUUACAUUCCAUAUUUGAGUGCUGUGAAUACAGUAUUGGUCUUUCUCUGGCUGACUCUUGUCACUUAACAUAAUGCCCUGCACGUCCAUCCCUGUUGCUGCAAGUGGCAGAGUUUCACUCUUUGUCUUGGCUGAGUGGGAUUCCACUGUGCAUAUGCACCACAUCUUCUCAUCCAGUCCCCUGUGGUUGGACAUUUAGGUUGUUUCCGGGCCUUGGCUCUUGGGAAUACUUCUGCCAUGAACAUGGGGGUGCAUGGAUCUUUUGGAUUUAGACUGUGUGAAUUUUCGGGAUGUGUGUCCAGGAGUGGGGUCACGGGACCAUAUGGUCGGUUUUCUCUUCCUUGGUUGAAUUCACGGUAGAGCUUUCAAAAGUGUAGCACAUCUUCUCCAGGUUCGAAUGUUAGGACCCGGAGACUCUGAGGUUGGGCAUUUCACCCAGUAGCAUAUUUGUCUGUCUCUCUGCUUUUCUCUGUCUGAUGCCAAAGAGUAGGGAUGAGACUUUGUGAAGAACCCGGACAAUGUACCUGACCUGUGCUUGACUCAGUGUCUGCUUCCUGAGGGCCUGGGCCUCAGGCCUGUGGCCCCACUGGGAAAAGCACAGGCCUCUCUGUGUCUCCCAUGUCUUGUGUUCAGGGAGUACGCUUCAGCCUCCAGGCCCUUCCCUGAACCCUGAAGGACAGGUGCCCACAGGUGCUGAUGAGGGGAGAGAGGGGAUGCAGAAACCAGGGAGGGGCUGGCAGGGGACCUCAGUGCCGCCUGGGGGGCAGGUCCUGGUUCCCCCUCAAGGGAUACACAGAGAACAAAGCCUUUGAGCUCUUGUGCAGAACUAAACCCCCAGCCAAUGACAGCCAGAGAGGAGGACCCCCAGGAACUGUCCCGGGGCCCCUGAAACACCAGCUCUGAAGAAAAAUGCAAACUUGCACCCACCCUGAACCUUACUUGUGGCCCUACUUAAUACUCCCAAACUGUAAAACCACCACCUCAUCUCUCCCAAAGAGGGCCAGUCUUUAGGGCAGCAGCCUGCUGUGACCCCCUUUGCCUGGCAAAGCAAUUUAAGGCAUUUCUUCCUCCUUCCCCCAAAAAUCCAUCUCCAAGAUAAACAGUGGCUGAGUUUUGGCAGCAUCCUUACAGAACAAUCUAGAUGGACAUGAGCCUUAGCCUUGGGGUUUCUUUCUCCCAGAAACCUCCCUCUUGCUGCUUGUGGCCACAGCUCAGGGCCUCCUACUCGCCCAUCUCUCUCUCACCCAGAGUUCAUCUCAUGAGAUGUCUUCUUUCCCCUGCAGGUGCACUGUCUCUGGGUUCUGACAUGGACACUUUUUCCUCCCCGCUUUGUGAUUUGUACUUAGGGUUGUUGCCCCAAAGACAGGGACAAGGAUACAAUAAUAAGCCAGAAAAUUGUCUUCCAUUUCUAUAGUUCUUCCUGGCUAAUUGGAUGGAAAUGCAGAAGCUCUUAAUUUUCUAAGAGUGCGUCCAGAAG